UUUUUGGGUCAUAGAGACCUUACACAUGUGCCAUAUCUCUUUGUUGUAUCAUGAACAAUAUCGGCCAGUUCAAGGGCGUUUCUAAGGAGUCUUGUAUAGGGUGUUGAAACUUAAGGCAAAGAACUUCUGUUCCAUUCCGUCCAUCUCCUUAUAUCUACUAUACAUUUUUGCAACACUUUUUGGGGUCCCUAAUCGGGUCG
This 200-nucleotide long non-coding RNA is filed under the name Arabidopsis lyrata. Its description in RNAcentral is "long non-coding RNA (ALYR_LNC001360)". Lineage: Eukaryota; Viridiplantae; Streptophyta; Magnoliopsida; Brassicales; Brassicaceae. The record is from RNAcentral.